UCGGGAAUUUUGGGCAAUGGGCGAAAGCCUGACCCAGCAACGCCGCGUGAAGGAUGAAGUAUUUCGGUAUGUAAACUUCGAAAGAAUAGGAAGAAUAAAUGACGGUACUAUUUAUAAGGUCCGGCUAACUACGUGCCAGCAGCCGCGGUAAUACGGAGGGUGCAAGCGUUGUCCGGAUUUAUUGGGUUUAAAGGGUGCGUAGGCGGUUUAUUAAGUCAGUGGUGAAAGACGGUCGCUCAACGAUUGCAGUGCCAUUGAUACUGGUAGACUUGAGUAUGAUUGAGGUAGCUGGAAUGGAUAGUGUAGCGGUGAAAUGCAUAGAUAUUAUCCAGAACACCAAUUGCGUAGGCAAGUUACUAAGUCAUAACUGACGCUGAGGCACGAAAGUGUGGGUAUCAAACAGGAUUAGAUACCCAAGUAGUCCCUGAGCGGGCUGGCAAGGCGCAU
RNAcentral lists this ribosomal RNA (447 nucleotides) under uncultured bacterium. RNAcentral describes it as "bacterial SSU rRNA". It matches the Rfam family "Bacterial small subunit ribosomal RNA", at positions 355 to 825 of the family's 1533-position model. The record is from RNAcentral.